UAAGGAAUAUUGCUCAAUGGCCGAAAGGCUGAAGCAGCAACGCCGCGUGAGGGAUGAAGGGCUUUUGCUUGUAAACCUCUGUAGUGAGGGAAAAAACUUCCGCUCUGCGGAACGUGAUGGUACCUCAAAAGUAAGCCCCGGCUAACUACGUGCCAGCAGCCGCGGUAAUACGUAGGGGGCAAACGUUGUCCGGAUUUACUGGGUGUAAAGGGUGCUCAGGCGGUUUUGUAAGUCAGGGGUGAAAUCCCGGAGCUUAACUCCGGAACUGCCUUUGAUACUGCAAGGCUUGAGUACGGAAGAGGCGGAUGGAAUUCCUGGUGUAGCAGUGAAAUGCGUAGAUAUCAGGAGGAACACCGGUGGCGAAGGCGGUCCGCUGGUCCGUUACUGACGCUAAAGCACGAAAGC
RNAcentral lists this ribosomal RNA (405 nucleotides) under uncultured bacterium. RNAcentral's name for it is "bacterial SSU rRNA". It matches the Rfam family "Bacterial small subunit ribosomal RNA", at positions 355 to 760 of the family's 1533-position model. The record is from RNAcentral.